UGGACAGUGAGACUUGGAGUUUUCUGGCGACCCAGGUGGCACUCCGGGGGUAGCUGGGGCGGCUCACGAGCUGAUCCACUCCAUGCCGGCAACCAGGUGAUUUCUGGGGAGACAUCGACCCGUGCCCGACCCCGCGCCUGCCGGACAACCAUCCAGGUAAGCUCGCAGGUGCUUUAUUCUUUUAGGUUUGUUGGUUGGGAGCCUGCCCAUAAGACGGGACCGUGAGUUUACCCGCUGGGUUGGGCAAAGGUUUUAUUGGGAAGCCUAGGCGCUGGUCGUAAGACGGGGCGAAAGCCGCGCUGAACC
Chiroxiphia lanceolata (lance-tailed manakin) is the source of this 306-nucleotide long non-coding RNA. RefSeq lists it as uncharacterized. The transcript has 3 exons. NCBI's taxonomy places the organism in Eukaryota, Metazoa, Chordata, Aves, Passeriformes, Pipridae. The record is from RefSeq and is a predicted model, not a curated record.